GUGCACGCUGGCGGUAGGCCUAACACAUGCAAGUCGCACGGCAGCACAGUAAGAGCUUGCUCUUACGGGUGGCGAGUGGCGGACGGGUGAGGAAUACAUCGGAAUCUACUUUUUCGUGGGGGAUAACGUAGGGAAACUUACGCUAAUACCGCAUACGACCUACGGGUGAAAGCAGGGGAUCUUCGGACCUUGCGCGAUUGAAUGAGCCGAUGUCGGAUUAGCUAGUUGGCGGGGUAAAGGCCCACCAAGGCGACGAUCCGUAGCUGGUCUGAGAGGAUGAUCAGCCACACUGGAACUGAGACACGGUCCAGACUCCUACGGGAGGCAGCAGCGGGGAAUAUUGGACAAUGGGCGCAAGCCUGAUCCAGCCAUACCGCGUGGGUGAAGAAGGCCUUCGGGUUGUAAAGCCCUUUUGUUGGGAAAGAAAAGCAGCAGGUUAAUACCCCGCUGUUCUGACGGUACCCAAAGAAUAAGCACCGGCUAACUUCGUG
Molecule: ribosomal RNA, 491 nt
Filed under: uncultured bacterium
Lineage: Bacteria
Description: partial 16S ribosomal RNA
Rfam family: Bacterial small subunit ribosomal RNA
Source: RNAcentral